Long non-coding RNA from Homo sapiens (human), 980 nucleotides. The record is from Ensembl. NCBI's taxonomy places the organism in Eukaryota, Metazoa, Chordata, Mammalia, Primates, Hominidae.
GCAAGAGACCGCGGGGGUGGAAAAGGCCGCUCGCUCGAGAUUGCGCGCAGACCGGAUCUCACUACGUUGCCCAGGAUGGUCUUGAACUCCUGGACUCAAGCAAGCCUCUUGCCUCGGCCUCCUAAAAAGCUGGGAUGACAGGCAUGAGUCACCGUGCCCAGUCUUCAUUCUUUAAAUAUUUGGUAGAAUUCAUCAGUGAAGCCAUCUCAUCCGGGGCUUUUCUUUGUUGACAGAUUUUUUAUUACUGAUUCAAUCUCAUUCUAACUAUAGGCCCCCAAAUCAAGACUAAGUAGCCCUGCCACUGAAAAGGUUGAAAAUCAGUGAAAAAUGCAAAUAAAUGACUCUAGUAGAAGACUAAAUUCAUUGUAUGCCCUUGAGCAAGGGUUGAGCUCCUCAGUCAAAGAAGAGAGUCACCUUUUCCAGAAGAGAAUGCAGCUCAAGGGGAAUGCAGGUGGGGCAGUGAAGGAGAAAGAGAUUCCUAGAAGCCUCGAGUGGGGGAACCAGCAUCACUACCAGAUUCCCUCAUGUCUGCAGUGUGAAGUGGUGGCAAGAGCCCCCCACAUUGGGACCCAGAAAACCUGUGAUAAAAUCCAAGCUGUUUUCAGAUGUGUAGCCUUUACCAUUUUGAGCCUCAGUUUUCUUAUUUCUAAGUAAGCAUAAAUAUCUUCCUGCCUACCCUAUAGGGUUACUGUGAAAUUACAUUUAUAUCAUGUAUAUGAAUGUUCAUGUAUAUACUGGAAAGCAAAAUAAAAAUAUAAAAUAGCAUGAAAAAAGUAGUGAGGAGAAGGUACUUGAUAUUUUGUGAUAGAAGUGCUGGAUAUUUCCCAUUUGCUCACCCAACUCUACUUUCUACUCUGAUCCAUAUCCUAAAGGCUGAAUUGUCUGAAUUGCAUCACUGGGUUCCCUUGCCUUUCGGCUGCUGGUUGAGUUUAAAAAGGAGCAACAGAAGGAAUUGGAUAGGGGUAGAUUUUGAUGAUUAG